CAAUAGCGUAUAUUAAAGUUGUUGCAGUUAAAAAGCUCGUAGUUGGAUUUCGGGACGGGCCAGUUGGUCCGCCGCAAGGUGUGUUACUGACUGGUCUGUUCUUCUUCGCAAAGACUGCGUGUGCUCCUCGUUGAGUGUGCGUAGGAUUUACGACGUUUACUUUGAAAAAAUUAGAGUGUUCAAAGCAGGCUAUCGCUUGAAUACAUGAGCAUGGAAUAAUGGAAUAGGACUUUGGUCCUAUUUUGUUGGUUUCUAGGACCGAAGUAAUGAUUAAGAGGGACAAUUGGGGGCAUCCGUAUUUCGUUGUCAGAGGUGAAAUUCUUGGAUUUACGAAAGACGAACAACUGCGAAAGCACUUGCCAAGAGUGUUUUCAUUAA
This 378-nucleotide ribosomal RNA is filed under the name uncultured eukaryote. RNAcentral describes it as "partial 18S ribosomal RNA". It matches the Rfam family "Eukaryotic small subunit ribosomal RNA", at positions 592 to 976 of the family's 1831-position model. The record is from RNAcentral.